RNAcentral lists this ribosomal RNA (1489 nucleotides) under uncultured Bordetella sp. RNAcentral describes it as "partial 16S-23S ribosomal RNA intergenic spacer". It matches the Rfam family "Bacterial small subunit ribosomal RNA". The record is from RNAcentral. Lineage: Bacteria; Pseudomonadati; Pseudomonadota; Betaproteobacteria; Burkholderiales; Alcaligenaceae.
GCGACUCGGAAUAAUGAGGGUUGGGUUACCAGCUCCAGAUUGAACGCUGGCGGGAUGCUUUACAUACCGUCGAACGGCAGCACGGACUUCGGUCUGGUGGCGAGUGGCGAACGGGUGAGUAAUGUAUCGGAACACGUGCCUAGUAGCGGGGGAUAACUACGCGAAAGCGUAGCUAAUACCACCUUACGCCCUUCGGGGAAAGCGGGGACCGCUUCGGGCCUCGCACUAUUGAAACGGCCGAUAUCGGAUUAGCUAGUUGGUGGGGUAACGGCUCGCAAGGGCGACGAUCCGUAGCUGGUUUGAAGGACGACCAGCCACACUGGGACUGAGACGGCCCAGACUCUACGGGAGGCAGCAGUGGGAGACCUGGACAAUGGGGGAAACCUGAUCAGCCAUCCCGCGUGUGCGAUGAAGGCCUUCGGGUUGUAAAGCACUUUUGGCAGGAAAGAAACAUGCAGGAUAAUGCCCCGUGCAACUGACGGGCUGCAGAAUAAGCACCGGCUAACUACGUGCCAGCAGCCGCGGUAAUACGUAGGGUGCAAGCGUUAAUCGGAAUUACUGGGCGUAAAGCGUGCGCGGGCGGUUCGGAAGAAAGAUGUGAAAUCCCAGGCUUAACUUUGGAACUGUAUUUUUAACUACCGAGCUAGAGUGUGUCAGAGGGAGGUGGAAUUCCGCGUGUGGCAGUGAAAUGCGUAGAUAUGCGGAGAAGGAACACCGAUGGCGAAGGCACUCCUGGGAUAGCUUUGACGCUCAUGCAGCGUGGGAGCAAACAGGAUUAGAUACCCUGGUAGUCCACGCCUAAACGAUGUCAACUAGCUGUUGGGGCCUUCGGGCAGCGGUAGCGCAACUAACGCGUGAAGUUGACCGCCUGGGAAAUACGGUCGCAAGAUUAAAACUCAAAGGAAUUGACGGGGACCCACAAGCGGUGGAUGAUGUGGAUUAAUUCGAUGCAACGCGAAAAACCUUACCUACCCUUGACAUGUCUACGGAAUCCCGAAGAGAUUUGGGAGUGCUCGCAAAGAAACCGGAACACAGGUGCUGCACAUGGCUGUCGUCAGCUCGUGUCGUGAGAUGUUGGGUUAAGUCCGCAACGAGCGCAACCCUUGUCAUUAGUUGCUACGAAAGGGCACUCUAAUGAGACUGCCGACAAACCGGAGGAAGGUGGGGAUGACGUCAAGUCCUCAUGGCCCUUAUGGUGGGGCUUCACGUCAUACAAUGGUCGGGACAGAGGGUCGCCAACCCGCGAGGGGAGCCAAUCCCAGAAACCCGAUCGUAGUCGGAUCGCAGUCUGCAACUCGACUACUGCGCGUGAAGUCGGAAUCGCUAGUAAUCGCGGAUCAGCAUGUCGCGGUGAAUACGUUCUCCGGGUCUUGUACACACCGCCCGUCACACCAUGGGAGUGGGUUUUACCAGAAGUAGUUAGCCUAACCGUAAGGAGGGCGAUUACCACGGUAGGAUUCAUGACUGGGGUGAAGUCGUAACAAGGUAG